RNAcentral lists this ribosomal RNA (468 nucleotides) under uncultured bacterium. Its description in RNAcentral is "partial 16S ribosomal RNA". It matches the Rfam family "Bacterial small subunit ribosomal RNA", at positions 28 to 507 of the family's 1533-position model. The record is from RNAcentral.
GACGAACGCUGGCGGCGUGCUUAACACAUGCCAGUCGCACGGAAAGGCCCUGCUUUUGUGGGGUGCUCGAGUGGCGAACGGGUGAGUAACACGUGAGUAACCUGCCCUUGACUUUGGGAUAACUUCAGGAAACUGGGGCUAAUACCGGAUAGGAGCUCCUGCUGCAUGGUGGGGGUUGGAAAGUUUCGGCGGUUGGGGAUGGACUCGCGGCUUAUCAGCUUGUUGGUGGGGUAGUGGCUUACCAAGGCUUUGACGGGUAGCCGGCCUGAGAGGGUGACCGGCCACAUGGGGACUGAGAUACGGCCCAGACUCCGACGGGAGGCAGCAGUGGGGAAUAUUGCACAAUGGGCGGAAGCCGGAUGCAGCAACGCCGCGUGCGGGAUGACGGCCUUCGGGUUGUAAACCGCUUUCGCCUGUGACGAAGCGUGAGUGACGGUAAUGGGUAAAGAAGCACCGGCUAACUACGUG